This 569-nucleotide ribosomal RNA is filed under the name uncultured bacterium. RNAcentral describes it as "bacterial SSU rRNA". It matches the Rfam family "Bacterial small subunit ribosomal RNA", at positions 355 to 916 of the family's 1533-position model. The record is from RNAcentral.
UCGGGAAUUUUGGGCAAUGGGCGAAAGCCUGACCCAGCAACGCCGCGUGAAGGAUGAAAUCCCUCGGGAUGUAAACUUCGCAAGAACGGGAAGAAUAAGUCUGUGUAAAUACCACGGAUGAUGACGGUACCGUUUGUAAGCUCCGGCUAACUCCGUGCCAGCAGCCGCGGUAAUACGGGGGGAGCAAGCGUUGUUCGGAUUUACUGGGCGUAAAGGGCGCGUAGGCGGCCAGCGCAAGUCAGUUGUGAAAUCUCCGAGCUUAACUCGGAAAGGUCAACUGAUACUGCGCGGCUAGAGUGCGGAAGGGGCAACUGGAAUUCUUGGUGUAGCGGUGAAAUGCGUAGAUAUCAAGAGGAACACCUGCGGCGAAGGCGGGUUGCUGGGCCGACACUGACGCUGAGGCGCGAAAGCUAGGGGAGCGAACGGGAUUAGAUACCCCGGUAGUCCUAGCCUUAAACGAUGAAUGCUUGGUGUCUGGGGUUAUAAAGUCCCCGGGUGCCGUCGCCAACGCUUUAAGCAUUCCGCCUGGGGAGUACGGUCGCAAGACUGAAACUCAAAGGAAUUGACGG